RNAcentral lists this unclassified non-coding RNA (188 nucleotides) under soil metagenome. Its description in RNAcentral is "partial internal transcribed spacer 1". The record is from RNAcentral.
AUGAAACCUUUGAGGGUUGAGCUGGCGUUUAUUCGCAUGUGCUUGCCCCUCUCAUCCUUUAUACAACCUGUGCACUUUUUGAAGGGAGACAUUAGUAGACAUUCACUUGUCGAAGGUAUCUCCCUUUACACUACAUACUCUAAUGAUUACUUUGAAUGUUUUAAAACGCUUAAACAGCAUUUAAUUAC